GACGAACGCUGGCGGCGUGCUUAACACAUGCAAGUCGAGCGAUGAAGCACCUUCGGGUGUGGAUUAGCGGCGAACGGGUGAGGAACACGUGAGGAAUCUGCCUUUCACUUCGGGAUAACUCCGGGAAACCGGGGCUAAUACCGGAUAUUUUCAACUGGCGGCAUCGCCGGUUGAAGAAAGUUUUUGGGUGAAAGAUGACCUCGCGGCCUAUCAGCUUGUUGGUGAGGUAAUGGCUUACCAAGGCGACGACGGGUAGCCGGCCUGAGAGGGCGGCCGGCCACCCUGGGACUGAGACCUGGCCCAGACUCCUACGGGAGGCAGCAGUGGGGAAUAUUGGGCAAUGGAGGAAACUCUGACCCAGCGACGCCGCGUGAGGGAUGAAGGCCUUCGGGUUGUAAACCUCUUUCAGCAGGGAAUAGGCGAAAGUGAAGGUACCUGCAGAAGAAGCACCGGCUAACUAUGUGCCAGCCGCCGCCGUA
RNAcentral lists this ribosomal RNA (479 nucleotides) under uncultured bacterium. Its description in RNAcentral is "partial 16S ribosomal RNA". It matches the Rfam family "Bacterial small subunit ribosomal RNA", at positions 28 to 522 of the family's 1533-position model. The record is from RNAcentral.